GAUGCAUGUCAAAGAUAAACCAUGCAAAUAAUAAUUGUAAUAUUAUGUAAAGGCAUUUUAAUAAUUCUUUACAUUAAUUUCUUGCGAGAAGUGAACUUGUUUUUUGGCAAAAAACAAUUUCAUUUGCUCGAAAACUUGCAUGUUUGAUGAAAAAUAUAUAUAUAUAUGUAUAUUGUUUGCGGGUGUUCCUUUUUAAUUCAAAGAAUGGGUUAUGAGUAUGUGCGUCAUUUUUAAAGUCCAAUGUUUUGAAGGAAAUAAAAUGUUUUUUUUCAUGGUUUUAAGCAUUUCAUUUCCUUAAAAAAUUAGGACUUAUCAAAUGAAUAUUAUAACUACAUUGUAAUUGCGAGUGUGUGUCUUUUUCUUCUUCGAAGAAAUGAACUUGUUUUUUAGAUCUAUAACAAUUUCAUUUGCUCGCAAGGAGAAAUUUUUAAAAUAUAUAAAUUAUUAAUAAGUACUUUUCAUUUCUGUUCCAGGUGUUAUAUCUGGUCUGGUGGAAGGGGCAGCAUCAAAUAUAGGAUUUCGAAAGACACUCAAUUGUCUAAUAAACUGAACAGCUUAGCCUAUUUCUCUAUUAUUUCAGAUUGGACUGUUAUCACUUCGUGUAAUAUAAGCGUAAUUAUAAGAAUAUUCUUAUUAUAAAAUUUGUACAAUAUAAGUUAAAUAAAAAUGUUUGUUAUAUAAAUA
Molecule: long non-coding RNA, 684 nt
Organism: Hylaeus anthracinus
Lineage: Eukaryota; Metazoa; Arthropoda; Insecta; Hymenoptera; Colletidae
Exons: 2
Source: RefSeq, a predicted model, not a curated record